AUGAUCCUGCGAACAAAUCAUCUAAAACUAUCCCUGAUGAUGAUUUCCAUCAAAUUUUGCUCUCGUCUCAAUAGGUAUUUAUUCCUUGAGAAAGGAGAAGAAUACUUUAAGAAAGAAGAUUAUUAUAGAAAAAUAAAGAGGCCACAGGUAAAAAUGUUCAAAAGGAGAUGGGUAUACAGCAUAUAAACUAUGGAUCUGGAGUAGGCCAUUUGGAAUCAAAAGUAACUUAUAAAGAACCAUGAUACUUUGGGUCUUGAGAAAUACCAGAAGAAAUAAACAUUUUU
This 284-nucleotide long non-coding RNA is filed under the name Vulpes vulpes (red fox). RNAcentral's name for it is "lncRNA (ENSVVUG00000005817.1)". Lineage: Eukaryota; Metazoa; Chordata; Mammalia; Carnivora; Canidae. The record is from RNAcentral.